Molecule: ribosomal RNA, 253 nt
Filed under: uncultured bacterium
Lineage: Bacteria
Description: partial 16S ribosomal RNA
Rfam family: Bacterial small subunit ribosomal RNA
Source: RNAcentral
UACGUAGGAGGCGAGCGUUGUCCGGAGUUACUGGGCGUAAAGGGUGCGUAGGCGGCCGCGCGCGUGGCGGGUGAAAUCUCCCGGCUUACCCGGGAGGGGGCUUGCCAGACGGCGUGGCUUGAGGGACGGAGAGGGGCGUGGAAUUCCGGGUGGAGCGGUGAAAUGCGCAGAUAUCAGGAAGAACACCCGUGGCUAAGGCGGCUCUCUAGUACGGUACUGACGCUGAGGCACGAAAGUGUGGGGAGCAAACAGG